GCCGGGCGAGGUGGCGGGCGCCUGUAGUCCCAGCUACUGGGAGGCUGAGGCAGGAGAAUGGCAUGAACCCCGGAGGUGGAGCUUGCAGUGAGCUGAGAUCCGGCCACUGCACUCCAGCCUGGGUGACAGAGCGAACCCGUCUCAAAAAAAAAUGGUGGAAGAUGGGCUAUCAUUUUAUUGUUGUUAUUUAUUCUGCAUUGCUUGAAAUUUUUUUUGUUUGUUUGUUUUUUAAAUGGAGUCUCGCUCUGUCACCCAGGCUGGAGUGCAGUGGCCGGAUCUCAGCUCACUGCAAGCUCCGCCUCCUUCUCUGCCUCAGCCUCCC
Molecule: small RNA, 322 nt
Filed under: Macaca fascicularis (crab-eating macaque)
Lineage: Eukaryota; Metazoa; Chordata; Mammalia; Primates; Cercopithecidae
Description: Metazoan signal recognition particle RNA (ENSMFAG00000051427.1)
Source: RNAcentral